This 246-nucleotide ribosomal RNA is filed under the name uncultured Thauera sp. Its description in RNAcentral is "partial 16S ribosomal RNA". It matches the Rfam family "Bacterial small subunit ribosomal RNA", at positions 1136 to 1382 of the family's 1533-position model. The record is from RNAcentral. Lineage: Bacteria; Pseudomonadati; Pseudomonadota; Betaproteobacteria; Rhodocyclales; Zoogloeaceae.
CACUCUAGUGAGACUGCCGGUGACAAACCGGAGGAAGGUGGGGAUGACGUCAAGUCCUCAUGGCCCUUAUGGUAGGGCUUCACACGUCAUACAAUGGUCGGUACAGAGGGUUGCCAAGCCGCGAGGUGGAGCCAAUCCCUUAAAGCCGAUCGCAGUCCGGAUCGUAGUCUGCAACUCGACUACGUGAAGUCGGAAUCGCUAGUAAUCGCAGAUCAGCAUGCUGCGGUGAAUACGUUCCCGGGUCUU